AUGGCAGGGAUUGCAAAUAUUUGGAGACGUUUCUGCAAGGCUCGUAUUUCAGUCAGGUUUGCAUUACAGUUGUGGGGUGGCAGGCACAUCUUAUUUUGGAGAGAUUGCUCGAUCAAUGGUUAUUCUGUUGCUGAGUUUUCGCCGCUAGUUCUGGAGUUCAUUCGGCUGCCCUGGUCUGUUGCUGGAGUUCAUUCGGCCAGCUUUGUGUACCGUUUGCUUACUAUCUUCACCGGUGCUGACUGCACAUGGAGAUGCUGGGCACCCUUAACCUGCAAGAUAAUUGCCUGGCUAGCGUAUACAAUAUCAGCUUUGGACCUGAAUGGGACAACUUCUGAUUAG
Molecule: ribosomal RNA, 339 nt
Filed under: Triticum aestivum (bread wheat)
Lineage: Eukaryota; Viridiplantae; Streptophyta; Magnoliopsida; Poales; Poaceae
Description: partial small subunit ribosomal RNA
Source: RNAcentral